UACGGAGGGUGCAAACGUUGCUCGGAAUCACUGGGCGUAAAGCGACCGCAGGCGGUCUGACAAGUCGGAUGUGAAAGCCCUGGGCUCAACUCAGGAACAGCAUUCGAAACUGGCAGACUUGAGUACGGGAGAGGGGGGUGGAAUUCCUGGUGUAGGGGUGAAAUUCGUUGAUAUCAGGAGGAACACCGGCGGCGAAGGCGGCCCCCUGGCCCGCAACUGACGCUCAUGGUCGAAAGCGUGGGUAGCAAACAGG
RNAcentral lists this ribosomal RNA (253 nucleotides) under uncultured bacterium. RNAcentral's name for it is "partial 16S ribosomal RNA". It matches the Rfam family "Bacterial small subunit ribosomal RNA", at positions 524 to 776 of the family's 1533-position model. The record is from RNAcentral.